CCCUAACUUUGCAAACAAAAUGAAAAAAAGAAGAGGAAAAUGGAGGUACCAAAGACGAUUUAGCACACAACCUCUCCAAUCUACUUACGAGUUCUACCGUUUGUUUCCCUGGAAAAUAUAUGAGACUUAAUAUUUUUAUUUUGUUAGUUUAUUUGUGUGUGUAUUUCAUCUUGUUGUGUUCAUUACUCAGAUCCCUAUCGCUUUUAUUUCUGUUCCAUUUUUCCUCUUUAUUUUCUAAUUUUGGGUAUUAUUUACUCAGAUCCCCUUUCUUUUUAUUAUUGUUUUUUUUUCUCUUAUAUUUUAGCUAGAAAUCGACGAUGCAAGUUACUGCUGGUCUCAUUGCUGCUGGUAACAAGUUAUUGCUUAAAAUUCAUGGUAACAAAUCUACUUCAAAGGAAGUUAUUCAUAUUCCUUCGUAUAGAAGCGAAGUUAUUUACGGUGGAACUUAGUUCUCCAGCUCUCGUAAGUUUGUUCCCAGUUUUGUAUUUGCCAUCUAUACCAGGGGGUGUUGUCUGUAAGAUGUUGAAGCAAGCGAUAUGGAAGGUGUUGAGCAAAAGGGUAGUUUCAAAUUCUGGUGAUAAACUUCUUUUGCCUUGUUUGUACUUGCCCACGACUUCUUUUCACGCUGGACAGAUACAUUAACAGUUGUGCAUUAAGUGGAGAUUUCAAGGGAACUCUUUUGAAGGUCCAAUACCAUCCAGUUUAGGAAAUCUAACCUCAUUGACUUCUUUGGACCAAAUAGAGAGCACAAGUGAGAGCGAAUGCAGUGCAAGUGAUGAAGUGCUUGUUGUUCCUUAUGAUAACUUAGCACCUAUGUCUUGUGAUAUUACUGAAUCUAAGCAGCUUUUGGAUAAGCUUGUUGUGGUGAAGUAUAAUGGAGCUUUGGGAAAGAAUAUGGGUUUCGGUGGUCCCGAAUGGGAGUUGGAGAAUACGAUCAAAGGGAAAACAUCAGAUAUGGUGAUUCCCAGCCAAGCAGUGGCUUCUUAGACACCCAACAUUUUGCACAACCAAACAUGACCACAACUUUUAAACCUACAUGUUGAGGUUGCUACACACAAGAUUCACACUCAAGGAGCAAGAAACAUCUCAAGAACUCAUUGGG
Molecule: long non-coding RNA, 1102 nt
Organism: Gossypium raimondii (Peruvian cotton)
Lineage: Eukaryota; Viridiplantae; Streptophyta; Magnoliopsida; Malvales; Malvaceae
Exons: 8
Source: RefSeq, a predicted model, not a curated record